RNAcentral lists this ribosomal RNA (253 nucleotides) under uncultured bacterium. RNAcentral's name for it is "partial 16S ribosomal RNA". It matches the Rfam family "Bacterial small subunit ribosomal RNA", at positions 524 to 776 of the family's 1533-position model. The record is from RNAcentral.
UACGUAGGGCGCAAGCGUUGUCCGGAAUUAUUAGGCGUAAAGAGCUCGUAGGCGGCCAGUUGCGUCUGCUGUGAAAUCCCGGGGCUCAACCCCGGGCGUGCAGUGGAUACGGGCUGGCUAGAGGCAGGCAGGGGAGAACGGAAUUCCUGGUGUAGCGGUGAAAUGCGCAGAUAUCAGGAGGAACACCGGUGGCGAAGGCGGGUCUCUGGGCCGAUACUGACGCUGAGGAGCGAAAGCGUGGGGAGCGAACAGG